This 411-nucleotide unclassified non-coding RNA is filed under the name Hevea brasiliensis (rubber tree). Lineage: Eukaryota; Viridiplantae; Streptophyta; Magnoliopsida; Malpighiales; Euphorbiaceae. The record is from RNAcentral.
ACUUUCAAGCCACAUGUGCCAGUGAUGCAGUUAAGUUUCAGAAGUUAGUUGAGAAAUAAGGAAUGUAUGACUUUCUUGCUUGGCUAAAUAUAGAAUAUGACCAGAUUCGAGUGUAAGUAAUUGGUAAGGAUAAUCUACCACCCUUAAGGCAAACUUAUUCUUAGGAGAGGAGAAGAAGUGUCAUGGUCCAUGCUACAGCUGUCGAUAAAUCGAGACUUGUUGUUGCUACCUCUAAGAAAUAGUCACAUAGCUCUGGUCCAUCAGACAAAGAUCAGUUGCACUAUGACUACUAUAGAAAAUCCCGAUACACCAAGGAAUACUACUGGAAACUACAUGGCCGCCCAACUAAGGGGCGUGGAGGAAAGAAGAUGGGCUCUGCUUGAUCAUAAGCAAAUGUAUUUGAGGCUGUGA